GGCCGGUUGACGCAGUUGGUUAGCGUGUGGAGCUAAUAGGAUUGAGGUGUCGAACCCAUAUCCGCUACUCCAAAGUCAUGGGUUCGAGCCCCAUACGGGCCA
Molecule: non-coding RNA, 102 nt
Organism: Tulasnella sp. 424
Lineage: Eukaryota; Fungi; Basidiomycota; Agaricomycetes; Cantharellales; Tulasnellaceae
Source: the annotation of a GenBank genome assembly